RNAcentral lists this unclassified non-coding RNA (233 nucleotides) under Hevea brasiliensis (rubber tree). The record is from RNAcentral. Lineage: Eukaryota; Viridiplantae; Streptophyta; Magnoliopsida; Malpighiales; Euphorbiaceae.
GCUGAUGUGUUUACUUCUUGCCUCACUACACCUAUCAAGAUGGCGUUGAGAUGGUUCUGCAAACGUUCAUUAUUACAUGAGUCCCUUGACCAUUCACUAAUAGAUAAAAUUCCUGGUCGACAAAAUGACCGUAAAACACUGCUUGGAGAAUUGAAUUGGAUCUUUACAGCAGUGACAGACACGAUUGCUUGGAAUGUUCUCCCUCAUGAUCUUUUCCAGAGACUGUUCAGACA